CCAACCAUGAUGCAUUUUCCCUACCUGUUUGUUUCUGCCCAUAAAAGAAAGAGACUUGCAUGGUCUCAGGGUCAAUUGAAUUAUCCAUACCAGAUGGCUGCCUUUGUCUAGUUCUUUACACCUUUGAGGAGAAACAGUCCAGUCUUCUUGGGGUCGCGAUGGAGAAUCAGAGGCGGUGGGAAAGCAUCCUUCCGGUUGGCCAAUGGCUGUAGGAGACGUCGCCUUUGAUGAAAGCGGAAGCGAAUUUGAUGGACAACAGAAGAGGCUCCAUUUUAAACCAGUACUGCAAAUGUGAACUUCAGAGGGGUAAAUUGCCCCAGUCGAGGGAGAGAGAGGCAGGCUAGGUCCAACAGGCCUGCCUGGAAGAAGCAGAGCCCUCCCUCC
This is a long non-coding RNA of Sceloporus undulatus (fence lizard), 384 nucleotides long. RefSeq lists it as uncharacterized. Lineage: Eukaryota; Metazoa; Chordata; Lepidosauria; Squamata; Phrynosomatidae. The transcript is spliced from 3 exons. The record is from RefSeq and is a predicted model, not a curated record.